UACGUAGGGUGCGAGCGUUAAUCGGAAUUAUUGGACGUAAAGGGUGCGCAGGUGGUCGCGCAGGUCGAGCGUGAAAUCCCCAGGCUCAACCCGGGAAUUGCGCUUGAAACCGCGCAGCUGGAGUGCGGCAGAGGAAGGUGGAAUUCCGCAUGUAGCAGUGAAAUGCGUAGAGAUGUGGAGGAACACCGAUGGCGAAGGCAGCCUUCUGGGCCGUUACUGACGCUCAUGCACGAAAGCGUGGGGAGCAAACAGG
RNAcentral lists this ribosomal RNA (253 nucleotides) under uncultured bacterium. RNAcentral describes it as "partial 16S ribosomal RNA". It matches the Rfam family "Bacterial small subunit ribosomal RNA", at positions 524 to 776 of the family's 1533-position model. The record is from RNAcentral.